Pelobates cultripes (western spadefoot toad) is the source of this 258-nucleotide non-coding RNA. The record is from the annotation of a GenBank genome assembly. Lineage: Eukaryota; Metazoa; Chordata; Amphibia; Anura; Pelobatidae.
AGGUGUCUGCACUAGACAGUCAUAUAGCUGCUUUGACAGAAGAUGGUAGAGUGUUCAUCUAUGGAUCCUUCAGGGAUAAUAAUGGUGCUAUCGGUUUGUUGGAGCCCAUGAAGAAGAGUAAUGUUGCUUUGAUGUACCUGUCAUCAAAAUUGCCUUUAGGAAAUGAUCAUCUUGUAAUGCUUACCUCAGAUGGUGACAUUUACACCUCAGGUUGUGGAGAGCAGGGUCAGCUGGGCCAUGUUCCCGAGAGCUUUACUA